This 370-nucleotide long non-coding RNA is filed under the name Fukomys damarensis (Damara mole-rat). Its description in RNAcentral is "lncRNA (ENSFDAG00000027474.1)". Lineage: Eukaryota; Metazoa; Chordata; Mammalia; Rodentia; Bathyergidae. The record is from RNAcentral.
CUUCAUUGUACAACUUUUUAAAGGCCUGGUUCCUUAGUCUACUUUACAGACAGAGUCCUCCAGUUGUCUGGGCAGAAAUCAAAAACACAGGAUGCCUACUCAGCCACAAGGGACAGCUGGUGCAUGAGACGGCAUCAAGUACCUUACAAAGAUUUACAUUUGGAGCAUUCAUGGAAUUUUCAAUGUAUCCGGAGACCUUAAGCUAAGCAUCAGGAAGACAGAAGGAAAUCAUGCAUGGUCACUCAGAAGAGGCAAAAACAUAAUGAGGUGAUUAGAACCUGAGGAACUCAAAACAGAGACAACUAUACAGACUAAGGUGAGACCAUACUAAUCAAAGCAGAUUUCCAUACAUGUAUAUCCAGGACCAGCA